GACGUAGGGCGCAAGCGUUGUCCGGAAUUACUGGGCGUAAAGAGCUCGUAGGUGGUUUGUCGCGUUGUUCGUGAAAACUCACAGCUCAACUGUGGGCGUGCGGGCGAUACGGGCAGACUGGAGUACUGCAGGGGAGACUGGAAUUCCUGGUGUAGCGGUGAAAUGCGCAGAUAUCAGGAGGAACACCGGUGGCGAAGGCGGGUCUCUGGGUAGUAACUGACGCUGAGGAACGAAAGCGUGGGUAGCGAACAGG
This 253-nucleotide ribosomal RNA is filed under the name uncultured bacterium. Its description in RNAcentral is "partial 16S ribosomal RNA". It matches the Rfam family "Bacterial small subunit ribosomal RNA", at positions 524 to 776 of the family's 1533-position model. The record is from RNAcentral.